RNAcentral lists this ribosomal RNA (23 nucleotides) under Picoa juniperi. RNAcentral describes it as "partial 18S ribosomal RNA". The record is from RNAcentral. Lineage: Eukaryota; Fungi; Ascomycota; Pezizomycetes; Pezizales; Pyronemataceae.
CCGGUUAGUGACUGAGGAGGAUC